AAAUAGAUACCCAGGUAGUCCACGCCGUAAACGUUGGAUACUAGGUGUGGCGGUCUACCAACGACUGCCGUGCCGAAGCUAACGCAUUAAGUAUCCCGCCUGGGGAGUACGGCCGCAAGGCUAAAACUCAAAGGAAUUGACGGGUCCCCGCACAAGCGGCGGAGCAUGCGGCUUAAUUCGAUGCAACCCGAAGAACCUUACCUGGGUUUGACAUCAUGGGAAAAGCCGUAGAAAUACGGUGUCCGAAAGGGCCCAUGACAGGUGGUGCAUGGCUGUCGUCAGCUCGUGUCGUGAGAUGUUGGGUUAAGUCCCGCAACGAGCGCAACCCUUGUCCUAUGCUGCCAGCGGUUCGGCCGGGGACUCAUAGGAGACUGCCGGGGAUAACUCGGAGGAAGGUGAGGACGACGUCAAGUCAUCAUGCCCCUUAUAUCCAGGGCUGCACGCAUGCUACAAUGGCCGGUACAACGGGAAGCGACCCCGCGAGGGUGAGCGAAUCCCUUAAAGCCGGUCCCAGUUCGGAUUGAAGUCUGCAACUCGACUUCA
RNAcentral lists this ribosomal RNA (543 nucleotides) under uncultured bacterium. RNAcentral's name for it is "bacterial SSU rRNA". It matches the Rfam family "Bacterial small subunit ribosomal RNA", at positions 776 to 1320 of the family's 1533-position model. The record is from RNAcentral.